GAUGAACGCUGGCGGCGUGCCUAAUACAUGCAAGUCGAACGCAUAGCGAAAGGUGCUUGCACCUUUCAAGUGAGUGGCGAACGGGUGAGUAACACGUGGACAACCUGCCUCAAGGCUGGGGAUAACAUUUGGAAACAGAUGCUAAUACCGAAUAAAACUUAGUGUCGCAUGACACAAAGUUAAAAGGCGCUUCGGCGUCACCUAGAGAUGGAUCCGCGGUGCAUUAGUUAGUUGGUGGGGUAAAGGCCUACCAAGACAAUGAUGCAUAGCCGAGUUGGGAGACUGAUCGGCCACAUUGGGACUGAGACACGGCCCAAACUCCUACGGGAGGCUGCAGUAGGGAAUCUUCCACAAAGGGCGAAAGCCUGAUGGAGCAACGCCGCGUGUGUGAUGAAGGCUUUCGGGUCGUAAAGCACUGUUGUAUGGGAAGAACAGCUAGAAUAGGAAAUGAUUUUAGUUUGACGGUACCAUACCAGAAAGGGACGGCUAAAUACGUG
This 497-nucleotide ribosomal RNA is filed under the name uncultured bacterium. RNAcentral's name for it is "partial 16S ribosomal RNA". It matches the Rfam family "Bacterial small subunit ribosomal RNA", at positions 28 to 507 of the family's 1533-position model. The record is from RNAcentral.